Long non-coding RNA from Rhododendron vialii, 1610 nucleotides. RefSeq lists it as uncharacterized. The record is from RefSeq and is a predicted model, not a curated record. NCBI's taxonomy places the organism in Eukaryota, Viridiplantae, Streptophyta, Magnoliopsida, Ericales, Ericaceae. The transcript has 7 exons.
AAAUAUUCUAUAUCUUGUGAUGGUAUAUACAUUAUUCACAUAUAUACAUAAAUGCUGUUUUGAUUGCCGGGAGAUGAUUCUAAAUGGAUGCUCCUUGUCCUUGGUCACUCUGAGUAUUUCUCUGAAGGUAUUCAACUCAAAGUCUCAUUUCUCGGGUUCAUAUGGUGGCAUCCCUCCUCUACCUUCCCGUGUUUCAUAUCGAAGCAUAAGAAGUUCAUGGAAACCCUUUCAAGGGCUGACAUUGCAAUCUUCCAUCGUAUAGAUGUCUAGAUACCGAACUCUAUGGCAACUCAAGGAACGUCGUUAAAUCAGGCAAUCUCUCGCAACGCCACGGGAUGACGGGUAGCGGAUGGUUGGGGAUCGGUAGGAAGUGCUUAGAUGGUGGAGGAUUAAACGUACCCAAAACUCUGUACUAAAUCUCAUGGCCAGUUCACACAUCGGGUUGUUCUCAGCCAUUGGAUUUGACUGGCAAAGUGAAAUUCGGCUUCAGCUAAUGAAGAUUAAAUCGAGAACUUCGCACAACAACAAUCAGCUUCUCACCAAACCAUCAUUCCGUGUAUUGAAGGCAUAGAAGGUAAUGUUCAAAGGUAGUAUUUCAAGGUUGUUGAAAUCCUUACCGGUUUAAAGAAUGUGGUGGAAGUGAAGCUGCAAAUGAAUGCUUAGAGGGUCUUGGACAUCUCACUGGGAAUGAACAUGAAGAGGAUUUUCAUAUGGACAAAGAAAUGGAGAAGGCAAAGUCCAAGGGAAAAGAAAAAGUCAUCUACGCAAAUAAGGGAAAAGAUAAUGCAUCUCUCUCUCUCUCCCAUAUUGCAUAACCCAAAGGUAACAGAUUUCAACAUUUUAAUCUUUUUUCCCCCUCUUUGGCUAUAUUUUUUGUAUAUCGAACGCUCACAUUUGAGAACCUAUUUGUGAACUCAUUUGUUCUCUAUCAGGUGUCAUUUCUACAAGUUAGUCUGCUAAAGCUUCGUGAUUUCAAGGAUAGGAAGUUCAUGGGGACAAGGAGAGCAUAAAGGUCAAGUUCCUGUUCUGGAAUGUCAAGCCAUUUCGAGUAGAUGUCGGCAUUUUCUAAAGAAAACAGUUACAGUAGCAGCGGGAGUAGCCCCGUGGGUCUCUGCAAUGGCACAUUUCUGUCUUCGAUCGGAGUUUGCACGAAUCUGAGGAGAUUCAUACAUAACUAUUCACCUAGUAGUUAAAUACGAAUCGAGAAAGUCAGGAUCUCAAACCUCUCUCCCAGUCCCAUGACGCUAUGCGAGGCUCUUGGUUCCACUAACCAAUAGGACAAAAAAUUUAAUGAAUGAAUAUAUUUUUUCCCCUUCUUGAAAUGAUUGGGGUUAGUGAUUUUUUCUUUCAGUUAAUUAGAUGUAGAGAAUUUGUUUCUCCUUUCAAAGUAGAGAAAGGGAGCGUGCAUUUUGAUGCCUGUCUAUGCUAUGUUCAUUUCUUUGGUGUUCAACCUGUUGGUGUCUGUAACUUUUGUUUUGACUAUUUCAUUUUUUACCAAAAUUACACGCUCCUCAACCAAGAAAAAUAAUUACACUCUUUGAUAAUUCAUUUCAGUCGUGUUAAAAAACGUGUUGCGUUGUGCCUUUAGGCACGGGCAAUUUCUAGUGCAU